Molecule: ribosomal RNA, 208 nt
Filed under: uncultured soil bacterium
Lineage: Bacteria
Description: partial 16S ribosomal RNA
Rfam family: Bacterial small subunit ribosomal RNA
Source: RNAcentral
AGAGCGAACGCUGGCGGCAGGCCUAACACAUGCAAGUCGAACGGACCCUUCGGGGUUAGUGGCGGACGGGUGAGUAACACGUGGGAACGUGCCUUUUGGUUCGGAAUAGCUCCUGGCAACGGGUGGUAAUGCCGAAUGUGCCCUUCGGGGGAAAGAUUUAUCGCCAUUAGAGCGGCCCGCGUCUGAUUAGCUAGUUGGUAGAGUAGUG